UGACGAUGUAACCAGAGUCCUGCCUUACACAGUUGCACUAACUGUUAAAGAAAAAGAAAAGAAAAAUGGAAACAUUGAACCGACGAAAGGAACUGGCCCUUCACGUUUUCCGGAAACUGCUAGAAAAACGUCCACGAAAGAACAUGUAAUGCUAAAACGAUGCACACUUGCUGUCUGAANUAAGUAAGU
Actinia tenebrosa (Australian red waratah sea anemone) is the source of this 189-nucleotide long non-coding RNA. The record is from RefSeq and is a predicted model, not a curated record. NCBI's taxonomy places the organism in Eukaryota, Metazoa, Cnidaria, Anthozoa, Actiniaria, Actiniidae.